AUCGAACGCUGGCGGCAGGCCUAACACAUGCAAGUCGAGCGGAUGAAGGGAGCUUGCUCCUGGAUUCAGCGGCGGACGGGUGAGUAAUGCCUAGGAAUCUGCCUUGUCGUGGGGGAUCACGUCCGGAAACGGGCGCUAAUACCGCAUACGUCGUGAUGGAGAAAGUGGGGGAUCUUCGGACCUCACGCUAUCAGAUGAGCCUAGGUCGGAUUAGCUAGUUGGUGGGGUAAAGGCCUACCAAGGCGGCGAUCCGUAACUGGUCUGAGAGGAUGAUCAGGCACACGGGAAGUGAGACACGGCCCAGACUCCUAGGGGGGGACGCGGUGGGGAAUAUUGGGCGAUGGGCGAAAGCCUGAUCCAGCCAUGCCGGGUGUGUGAAGAAGGUCUUCGGAUGGGAGAGCGCUUUAAGUUGGGAGGAAGGGCAGUAAGUUAAUACCUUGCUGUUUUGACGGUACCAAGAGAAUAAGCACCGGCUAACUUCGUG
RNAcentral lists this ribosomal RNA (484 nucleotides) under uncultured bacterium. Its description in RNAcentral is "partial 16S ribosomal RNA". It matches the Rfam family "Bacterial small subunit ribosomal RNA", at positions 30 to 507 of the family's 1533-position model. The record is from RNAcentral.